GCUGGCGGCGUGCUUAACACAUGCAAGUCGAACGCGAAAGUUUUCUUCGGAAAACGAGUAGAGUGGCGCACGGGUGAGUAACGCGUAAAUAAUCUACCCCUGGUGUCUGGGAUAACCAGCCGAAAGGCUGACUAAUACCGGCUAUAUACUUAGAUGUUGGUUUAAGUAGGAAAGGUGGCCUCUUCUUGAAAGCUAUCGCACUGGGAUGAGUUUGCGUACCAUUAGCUAGUUGGUAGGGUAAAGGCCUACCAAGGCAACGAUGGUUAGCGGGUCUGAGAGGAUGAUCCGUCACACUGGCACUGGAACACGGGCCAGACUCCUACGGGAGGCAGCAGUGA
RNAcentral lists this ribosomal RNA (338 nucleotides) under uncultured delta proteobacterium. RNAcentral's name for it is "bacterial SSU rRNA". It matches the Rfam family "Bacterial small subunit ribosomal RNA", at positions 35 to 357 of the family's 1533-position model. The record is from RNAcentral. Lineage: Bacteria; Deltaproteobacteria.